RNAcentral lists this microRNA precursor (61 nucleotides) under Pristionchus pacificus. RNAcentral describes it as "mir-8364 microRNA precursor family". It matches the Rfam family "mir-8364 microRNA precursor family". Lineage: Eukaryota; Metazoa; Nematoda; Chromadorea; Rhabditida; Neodiplogasteridae. The record is from Rfam by way of RNAcentral.
UCUUCAUUUCAUACACUCUCUCACCGGUCAGAGAGACGAGAGAGUGUGCGAAAUGCUGAGA